RNAcentral lists this long non-coding RNA (2286 nucleotides) under Equus caballus (horse). RNAcentral describes it as "lncRNA (ENSECAG00000037104.2)". Lineage: Eukaryota; Metazoa; Chordata; Mammalia; Perissodactyla; Equidae. The record is from RNAcentral.
AGGAGCAAGACUUAAACCUUGAGAUGAUGGGGAGCACCACCCCUACAUCCUUUCAGUCUUGUAUAAUGGCACUAAUCUUUGAAAUUCUCCUUGGAUGAGCCAUCCCAGCAGACUGUGAGGACUGGAUUCAGGUGUCUUUGCCAAAUAAUUGGAUCCUGAGUCAUAGGUAAGUGCUGCCAAGUGGCUCUGCUAUGCCGGGAUUCCAGCAUCCUCACUGAAACCAGGGGACCCAUUGCAAAGGCAGCGUCAGCCUGGUCUGCGGAGGACAAGGAUCACAAAGCUAUUCUAGGAUGCUGAGGGUCAUCUCGCCAAUGUAUUGCUAAUGCCCUGGUGAAGGAAGUGUCUUCUGAGCCGUCCAGGAUGAUGGCAUGAGGGUGGGCAGGGGCGUUAGCAUACAGGUCACUUACGAUAAAUCUACUCCAACAUCCACCUCCUCUGAAACCUUCAAAUGCCCUCCUCUGCCUUAUGUGGGAAAGUUCCGCAUCUCCAUCUCAGUGAACGCAGGCCGCCAUUGAACCCAAGUUCUGCCAACCAACCAGGCAAACCAUUAGAACCACUUCUGGAUGUGAAAGACAACAUGUUACAUCCAUAAUCUCUAGGAAUGCUACUCCUUUCAAUUUAUUUGACUCAAUGCAGUUAUAUAACAAAGUAUCUUAAGGAGCUGGUUAAACAGAUAUCGAAAGAUGGAAAAGGCAAAAGGAAAACAUUGACAUAGCACAGAAACAAGAGCACAGAAAGGAGCUGCCAUUCCAAGGGCUGGGAACAAAGGACCGAGGCCAGACUGAUGAAGCGUGGAAAGCUCCGUGCCACAGGAAUCCGGCCUCUGUGGAGGGGGCUGGAGGCGGGCGUUUCUGCAGGGGGAUGUGGACAGGCCCAGAACACGAAACGGGAAGGAGCUGGUUGUUCCUCCUCCUCCAGGCUUCCAGUCUCCCUCUAGUGCUCCCUUUCGGAAAAACCUAACAGGGAGCCUGCUGCUAAAACAGAAGUACAGCUCAGAGAGCAUCACAAAGCAAGGAUAUACAGAAAAGUGGGCUUGGAGCUGAGAAACAACAGCCUAGUAAGCAGCAAGGUGCCCCUCAGACUGGCACAGAGGCAGCUGGCUCAACCUGACCUUAUUUGGGUUGCCCAGUGCCGGGAACAGGUCCAGUCUGCUCCAUACUCCUUAUGCCUCGAAUUGUUCCCGUAUCCCCUAAGAUCUAAUAUGUGUUACACCCACAGCACAUGCCACAGCCUCAGUUUCCCCCAUAGCUCAUCCCAAUUAACCCUAGAUGAAAGCCUUAUGAUUCAGAUGCUGCUGCAAGCAGGAGUCAUCGCCACCUCCACUGACCACCAGCCGCAGGGUCCCUAUUGACAUCGGACCAGAGAGAAACACCACUCCAGAAUCCUCUCCUGAAGGGUCUGCUUUCAACGGUUAUCCCUGGUGCCAGGGGUUCUCAGCUGGGUUCUCCAGAGCUUAGAGCCUGAGGCAAACCUUCCUCUGUUGCCACUUUAUCUGAGAGUACGAGCCCAGGAGGGAAGGAAAACGGGAAAGAGGCAGGGGAGCAGGGAGAGUCACCCCGAGGUAUGUUACUGAGCAUGCUUGAGCCAAUGGGAUGCUUGACUCUGCAGGAUCCUGGGAAUCUGUGAACUACUACGUUUCAGGACAGACUGGGGGAUGGUGGGAGCGAGGGAGGUACAUCAUUUUUCUGCUGGCUCCCGUGUCCCUUUGCUGUAAGAUUCCCUCUCUGUGAUUCUCUUUAAGAUUCACUUUCCUGCAAUUCUGGUUUGAAUGCACAGGUGCUGAGCCCCUCCUAGAGCAUCCAGUAGCCACAGGCACCCUGGAGGCAGGAGGUGAAAGUCACAUGGCCUGGGCAAGGGACGAGGCACUGCCUGGUUAGAGUGAGCCAUGGUUCGUGCUGGAGCGGUCACCGUAGGAGCAGCCAGGGGAAGUGGCCUCCACUAAUGAAGCUUAACAAUGUGCCAGCUGUCAAAGGAGAAAUGUUCCAAUGUCAUAAGCAUGACAAUGAAGGGUGGAUUUGGAGCAGAGAGGACUACAUUGAUACAUUGUUAAUGGUAUAAACUAAUGAAUCCAUAAUUACAUCAAAUGUAAGUAAACUAAACGAUCCAAUUAAAAGCAAAGAUUUUCAGACAAUUACAACUAGGCGCUCUUUACAAGAAACAUCUUUAAGAAGCAAGGACACAGAAGAUAUGAAAACAAAAGUUUUAAUCUCAAUUACUAGAAAUAAAGAAGGACACUUCAUUACAGUAAGAAGUUCAAUUCAUAAAAAAUUUCUAAUUAAAAAAAUU